RNAcentral lists this ribosomal RNA (460 nucleotides) under uncultured bacterium. RNAcentral describes it as "partial 16S ribosomal RNA". It matches the Rfam family "Bacterial small subunit ribosomal RNA", at positions 338 to 795 of the family's 1533-position model. The record is from RNAcentral.
CCUACGGGUGGCAGCAGUGAGGAAUAUUGGUCAAUGGCCGUAAGGCUGAACCAGCCAAGUCGCGUGAAGGAUGACUGACCUAUGGUUUGUAAACUUCUUUUAUAGGGGAAUAAAGGUAUCCACGUGUGGCUAUUUGCAUGUACCCUAUGAAUAAGCAUCGGCUAACUCCGUGCCAGCAGCCGCGGUAAUACGGAGGAUGCGAGCGUUAUCCGGAUUUAUUGGGUUUAAAGGGUGCGUAGGUUGUUUUUUAAGUCAGUGGUGAAAGUUUGUGGCUCAACCAUAAAAUUGCCGUUGAAACUGGAAGACUUGAGUGUGUUUGAGGUAGGCGGAAUGCGUGGUGUAGCGGUGAAAUGCAUAGAUAUCACGAAGAACUCCGAUUGCGAAGGCAGCUUACUAAGCCGCAACUGACACUGAUGCACGAAAGCGUGGGUAUCAAACAGGAUUAGAUACCCGAGUAGUC